Long non-coding RNA from Orcinus orca (killer whale), 3010 nucleotides. RefSeq lists it as uncharacterized. Lineage: Eukaryota; Metazoa; Chordata; Mammalia; Artiodactyla; Delphinidae. The transcript is spliced from 4 exons. The record is from RefSeq and is a predicted model, not a curated record.
CAGCAGAUGCAAGACAGACAAACAAAAACAAACCAAAACAAAAAAAAAACAAUAAAACAACUGUCUGCCUUCCCCCUGUAGGCCAAAAAGGAGGGCAUUAAUUUCCCUUUGUGUUAGAGCAGAAUGAGAAGAUUAUAGACUUUCAUCACCCCCAGAGACAGCACCGAAAGGAAUCUGUAUAACAAACCUUACUAAGAUAACCCUUAUCUCCUAUUCAUGUCCCCCGUAUACUUACCUUCCCACAUCUUGCCGCCCCUAAAGCUCUAAGCUUCUUUCCUUUCGCCUUGUGACUUCUCUACAAAUGUAUGGUUCUUUGUCAAAAAGGUAUAUUAUCUCUCAAGCCUAACUGCUUCUCUGGGGUUCUCACUUCUUUCUAGAAAGGUCUCCAUGCCACCUAAGAAUAUUAAUAUCAAAUGAAAUGGGUAUGCCUUUUCUCCUGCUAAUCUGCCUUUUGUCAGUUUCAUUUACAGGGUCCCAGAAAUAGAACCUAAGAAGGUAGGGUUUCAAUCGGUGCAACAAGUAUGCGGGACUGCACGUAUAUUGUGAUAUGUGAAGAGCUUAUCCAAGCAUGCACAACACAAUCGUUGCCUCUGCAAUGGAGUCACCUGCAGACAGGAGCUCCUGGAGUAUGUCAGAUACACCAGCAUCAUGCUGGACAGCUCAGAGAGACAUGGAUAAACACCACGAAAGAGUUCCAUGCCCAGAUCAACUAAGUCUUAACUCUGCGCUCCAUCCAAGGUCCCACAGCUGGGAAGGUGCGUGUGGUGAGAACAUUGCGUGCAGAAUCAAGGAGCAUCACUGAAGGUCAGAGGGAAGCCAGAGAAUGCAAGGAGCGUUGGUGGAGGGAGGGACCUACCUCGUCAGGAAUGCCAGGGCCCAGGUGUCAGCCCGACCACGUGGCAGAACACGAUUGUCAUUCAAUGUCCCACGUCCUCAUUGGAAAACUCAAGCUGGGCUGUUACAAGGAGACGAUAUCAGAGACACAAAAACUGACCACUGAAACAACAAUGCAUUCCGCCCAGAGGCAGCUCACCAACCCACAAGCCCAGGCAGGGAGAGACGUUUGGGCUGGGAGGUGGACACCUCAUGUCAGGAUUGAAGACACACAGUGAGGAAGAUGGCUUCCGUCCUCUCUCAUGGCUGGACAAGUAGGGGCCAUCCGCCUUGUCUCAGCCCUCAAUGACCUUGACUCCUGUAGGACAUUAUCCUUUCCCAUCAGCCCCCUCUACCUGUCCAGACCUACACUGAUCUGUGCGUUCACAAGAAGCUCCAAAUUCCCCGUGAACUUGACCGUGGUCUUUGUAGUAGCAUGUACCCUCACCCUUCUCCAGACACCUAGAAUACUUACAGUCAAGACCAUAAAUGCCCCUCUCCUUCCUUCCUGGAACGUUCAAGAUGUUUCAUCUUUCUUACGUCUUGAGUACACGGCCACCGGCACCCAGUUAGAGCCUGGGGUUUUGUAAUGUGAGACACAGAAAUGCAGCCACAGACCAGAGGAUACGACUCUGAAAAUGAAAAGGGCUCUGACGACCACCAGGUUCGAUUCAUUUUUUUUCCACAUGAGCUUUCAUCACUGCCCUUUCAUUGCAAUGCAUGGUUGGAGGGGAGCAGGGAGGAAUUCUCCAAUGACUGCGGCACCCGCGUUCUCACCCCUACAACCACCCCUACAACCACUGAAAUCCAACUUACGACGCUAUAUGCCUGGUAUUUCUUGAGGACUCUUCUGGGGGAAGCGUAUGUAACUGGUGUGUUAAACAAUCAUGACUCAUUGGGUGUAAACAUAAAGCAAAUUUAAUUUUGUCUCCUACCAUCCCUUUCGAAUUCAGGAGGUGGGAGGGAUUCUUCGUACACCUCUGGAGGAAAUCAUAGGAGGUCUGAGAGCUUUCUUUUGCUGGCUCUCCGUCCGCCCUCUCUCUCUCUCUCUGUCUCUGUCUCUCUCUUCCUGCACCUGCAACAGGUGUGCACUCCCAUCCCUUUCCUCCUGCAGGGGGGCAUCACCGAGGCAGAGGCAGUUGUGAAGGGAAGGAUUUCACAGAAUUGCCCAGCUGCCCCAGUUCCACCUGGGAGAAUCAGCUCACUGCGGGGAGAAGGGGAGACUGCUAGGUCCGUGCGCCGAGCCCCCUUUCCAGUCCAGCUGGAAAGGCGAUCAGCAGAAGCCUUUAUUUCUCUCUGACACCCGUGUGCACUUGGCAGUGGGCUUGCAAUCCAGUGGGGAGGGGUGUGCAUUAGUUGGCUUCUCAAAAGACACAGGUGAGGGUCUCACAGACACCCCCAAAGUCACCGCAGGGGAGCAACAGACUCUGUGCUGUGUUGAAAUAUCAGGGUUUCUCUCGUGGUCAAGCAGAGGCCUCAUAGACUUGUGCCCACGUGAGCCUGUGACCUUGCAGUUUGCAACAGCUCACACCGUGACUGGGAGUGUUCGGGGAGAUUCCUCCAAACUCACAGUUGGUGUCAGAAGUGAGGACGGUCACAUGGAAGGUCCCCUCCUCUGAGGGUCCACCUGUUUCCUUGUUUCUUUGGCCUCAGGCAUCUCUCUGCCUCACCAGGAUUUGAGUGGGUACGUAGGUUCAGUUCUGCGGGGAAACAAGGAAAGUCCAUCAUGGGUCGUAUCCCAGUUUUUUCUCCUAAACUAAGUCUGACCUUAAUGAAAUAGCUGUUUGCGUCAUGAUCGCUGCCCCAUAGAUGUCUCCACUGGCCAAGCCCAGAUUUCCCAUCUAGGUUACUCUGGAAGCUAACACGCUGCCGGGUUUGGGAAAGAGAGAGUAACAUAAAUGUUACUCUUUGUUCCUAACAGGGGUAAAAAACACAGCCACGUGCCCUGCGGGGUCCAAACACUAGGCUCUGCUAAAAGAAAUCCUGCCCAGAAUUUGACCCAGACAGAGUCUGUAGACUUGUUACCGACUCUUUGAAUCGUAAGUAGAAAUAACUAAAAUGUGGUCUAGACACAGAAUGGGGGUAUCAUACAACCUUAAAGAGAAAGGAAGUACUUUACAGCCCGGAUGAACUUCAA